Zootermopsis nevadensis is the source of this 5884-nucleotide non-coding RNA. The record is from RefSeq and is a predicted model, not a curated record. Lineage: Eukaryota; Metazoa; Arthropoda; Insecta; Blattodea; Termopsidae.
UCUCUCGAAGUGCGAGAAAUUCCCGCAGUUUGUGCAAACGUUCGUGGAUGGAAGUUGUGUUUGUGAGUGAGGUAAUGGAGCUGUAGGAAGAUCGCAGAAUUUCAGCGUCCAACCCGCACCGGAUCAUGAAAAUGGUGUUGUCACAACGGCAGCGGGAGGAGUUAAAUAAAGCGAUUGCAGACUAUCUGAGCAAUAAUGGAUACAUGGAUGCACUGGAAGCUUUCAAAAAGGAAGCAGACAUGCCAGGAGAAGUGGAGAGGAAGUAUGGGGGUCUGCUUGAGAAGAAGUGGACCUCUGUUAUCAGAUUACAGAAAAAGGUGAUGGAACUUGAAUCUAAAUUGUCUGAAGCAGAGAAGGAAUUUAUUGAAGGUGCUCCUACACGAGGUAAACGAUCCCCUACUGAAUGGAUACCAAGGCCACCGGAGAAAUACUGCCUCUCAGGUCAUCGUGCGCCUGUUACGAAGGUUAUAUUCCACCCAGUUUUCAGUGUCAUGGUGUCAGCAAGCGAAGACGCCACUUUAAAAGUGUGGGAUUUUGAGACUGGAGAAUAUGAGAAAUCACUCAAGGGUCACACAGACUCUGUCCAAGAUAUUUCUUUUGAUCAGACUGGUAAAUUACUAGUGUCCUGCAGUGCAGACAUGACUAUAAAACUGUGGGACUUCCAGAAUUAUGAGUGUAUCAAAACUAUGCAUGGUCAUGACCACAAUGUGUCAAGUGUAACUUUCAUGCCCGGUGGAGAUUUUGUCGUCUCUUCUUCAAGGGACAAGACUAUCAAGAUGUGGGAAGUAGCAACAGGUUACUGUGUAAAAACUUUCACGGGACAUCGUGAAUGGGUGCGUAUGGUCCGUGUUAGUCCAGAUGGAUCUUUAAUUGCAUCGUGUUCCAAUGAUCAGACUGUUCGUGUGUGGGCCACAGCUAGCAAGGAAUGCAAGGUGGAGCUACGUGAUCAUGAUCAUGUGGUAGAGUGCAUUGCCUGGGCUCCUGACAAUGCCAGUUCUGCCAUUAAUGAGGCUGCUGGAGCAGAUAAUAAAAAAGGAGCUCAUGCUGGUCCCUUUCUUGCCUCUGGCUCAAGAGAUAAAACCAUAAAGGUUUGGGAUGUGGGUACUGGGAUGUGCCUAUUCACAUUAGUGGGCCAUGACAAUUGGGUGCGUGGUGUGGUAUUCCAUCCUGGUGGUAAAUUUAUUGUGAGUGCCAGUGAUGAUAAAAGUCUGCGGGUAUGGGACACGCGCAACAAACGCUGCAUGAAGACACUUGAAGCUCAUCAACAUUUUUGUACUUCACUUGAUUUCCACAAGACUCAUCCGUAUGUAAUUUCCGGCAGCGUAGAUCAAACUGUGAAGGUGUGGGAAUGUCGCUAACCACACUCAUCUGGUCAACACAUGAAUACAGUGGACACGGAGCUUAGCAUUGUAUCUGUUAUAUAAUUAUUAUAUAGUGUUUCUGUAUCCUAAUUUAUAUACAAACAUAAUGUUAUGAACUUUAAUUUGCUUUGGUAUAAAAAGGAAUGUCCUCCCCCUUUUGUGUUGCGCAUUGCCAUGUCAGACGCUUUGCACCAACAAGUCAGACAGGGAAGGGAGGAAAGCAUAAGUGUCCAUUGAAUCCGUCAAGAGUAUGUACCAAGAACUGCUUGUAAGAGAAAGGGCACUGAAAAAGGGGUAUGCAAAUCAGAUUGACAGUGUGAACAUUUGAAAACCCUCCUGCACAUAAUGAUCAUAAAAGUAUAAGAUGUAGAAAGUUUGUGACAUACGCAGGAUGGUAAGAAUAACAUUGUCAAAAUGUUUUACUUUCGUUUUUAGAUACUUCAGUGGACUAGUAGUAUUAAAAUUGAUGCCUAAUAUCGGAACCUUAACUUACACUUGGCUAUCCUGUCUUGAUUCUGUACUGUUACUAAAUUUCAUGUUGCCUUUUGUGUUGGUUAUGUUGCAUAAGGUGUAUUCACUGAUGUGAAUUUUUUUUAUAAAUAUAUUGUUUUAAGAAAGAAAGUGUGGCAAUUACAGUACAGCUUAAGUGUUCUUGUUACAUGCUGUUUAAUUGUUUAGACUAAAUUCUAAACAUUCUGUUUUUCUACUUCCCACUUUGAUUUUUGGUGGAAUGUUGAACUGUUUACAUCAGCAUGUUUUUUUGUCAGAAAAGGUAAGAAAAUGCAUCGUAUACCCAUUAUAAUUUAGGAAAACAAUUGAGAAAUUUGAGCCUCUGCAUAAAGAUGUAAAGCACUUAUUAAAUCCAUACAGGGUGUUAAAUUGAAGAGCGAAGGUGGUUAGAAUGCUCCAAGGUGAAGCCUUUAUAGGUAACAAUUACUUAGGAUCUCCUUUGUGCCACCUGUAUAUGUAUGCUGGUUCCGAUUUUUUUAUAACUCUUUCAGUUUCCUGCAGAAACUGUUAAGAACAGAAGGCUUGUGUGUUGCUAGUUUCUGCUGGUCUGCACUGUAGUGUUUUUCCAAUUUUGAUGUAAACACUUGGCAGGCAGUGGAAGGAACAGAUAGUUGGGAUGCAAGGACGUGUAUCAUAACAAGACUCCCUGUCCAGAUAUUGUGUGUUGUAGUUCCAGUUAACAUGUACAAACAAAAGGUAACAGGUACUGUAGCAUAGUAAUUUUUUCUCUUUCUUUGCUAUUUUUGUCACUCUAGUCGGUAGCCCUGUAAUUACUGUAGUUUCCUCUUAGAUUUUCAUCUUUAUUUGUGACAUAACACAAGUUGAAUACUACACAGCUACAUUAGUUUUUGUCCUACUUUCCUAGUAUUUAUAUAUUUGUAUUUGGAAUUAAUAGUGGGUACAUACUUCGUACUAAUGCUGUGUACACAAAAAAAUAAAAUUCUUGCCCUCAAGCAACCUGUAAAUUCAGACAAAAUUUCACCAAGUGUUUGGUGUAUUGAUAAAAAAACUGGUUCUGUGAAAAAUUAUUGCAGUUAAUAUUUGUCCCAAGUGUGGUGCCAGUUUUAAUUAGAAUGGCCUGUAAAAGAAUUAAUGGGAACACAGCAGCAUGUAACAACAGCAAGGCCUUCAAUUGAUUCACUCUUUGUUAACUUUAAUUCUUCAUAUUAUAUAUCUAUCCAGAUACUUUUAUUUCUAAAUAUAAAACAAAUUGUACAUCUGACAGUUUUCGUUAUUGUAGCAAAGCUGAUAGACAUACUUAAAAACAGUUCAUAUAUAUAUAUAGGAAUAUAUGAUGUUUCAAUAAAGUAUUCCCUAGAGUGCUUGAUACUUCUGAUUUAAUAUGUUAAUCAAUUGAGCAUAGAACCUCAUGCUGUUAAUGUGCUUGCAAAGUUGCCAUCACACUAGCUUCUACAGUAUAGUAUAUGUACAAAAAAAGUAUCACACUUUUAAUUGCCUGAAAUCCUCAUCAUGAUUCAUAAUAAACAGGAGAGAUGGUAUAUUUUAGAAUUGUAAUCCUCCAAGACGUUUCAAACUUGUGUUCAUUAUGUUCAAUGUGUAUAUUUCAAUACAAACAUGUGCAUGGUAUGAUGCUAACCACAAUAUUAAUUGAAUUUUAACUCUGAACUGUUUUCUAUUUAUUAAAACUAGUGAUAUUUUAUACUGUGCCAGAAGUAAUUUGAUCUACAAAUGGAAGUUAUAAUUGCAUGUCAACCAGCUGUUUAUCAGAAUAAUGCCUCUUUGUUGGUAAAAUGUAUUAACCCUUUUGUGGCAAGUUUACUUUUAUCUAAUAUUUGUUUCAGUAUAAUGCAACAUGGGUUCAAUUUUUCCAUGAAAAUCUUAUUUCAAUUUUAAAAUGGGAAGCAUGUUUCCUGUGACAGAAAGAACUUGUGAAUGCAAUUUUCACUCCACAGGAGUCAAAUCCAGGGAAAUAUGUGUGGCAAAUAAAUUUCACAAUCUCGAGCACUAUAUUACAAAAUGCACACUUUAUUGUCAUUUAGAUGAUGGUUUUCAAGUUUAUUAAAACAAGUAUUCUAUAAAAUGAAAAUUAGAUCUUCCAUUUAGGUACAGCAUAAAGCAUUUUUUAAAGACCACAGCAACAGUUUUACACUUAUUGGCUCAGAAACCUAAAAUCAUUGGAAAAAUCCCAUUCAUCCAGAACCUGUAUUUCCUUCUUAUAGAGCAACUACAUACAUAGCAUGGAAUUCAGUAGCUCUUACUUCUGUACUUGCACUAGUGUUAAAAAUGCCAGCUAACAUAAUCAGUUAAUCAAAUGUAAUGUGUUGCAAAAUAAAUUCAUAAUUACAUUCAAGGGGUAUAAUUUGGAAUAGCAUAUGAAAUAUAAGGUUCUCACGGCAGUUAAGAUGUCAUUCUGAGUUUAAAUACCAUGUGGUCUUAUGUAAGUAGAUACCAACAAAGGAAUAUACUGCCUCUAUGUUCAGGACCUAAGUCCAUGCUGCAUUACAACCCAGAAUACCAACAUGGAAUAACAAAUAUUUAUAUCAUCCAUAUAUUUCUAUUGCCGGAUUUAGACAUUGCUGAGUGUUUCUCCCUACCUAUUUUUCUAGUUGUAAUUUUAUAGGAAUGAAUGUUAUUGGUCAGUACUGUGGCUGAGUUUGCCUCAUUAUCUUGCUGUAAUAAAAGUGAUGCACACGACUGUGUACAACCUGACAUCAAGUGUUUCAAGUACAAGUUAUAACUUCUAAGUAAUUUUUAUCAUAGCUUUAAAUAUAUUAGAAUAGGAGAGAUGAGAAUACAGUCAUUGCCAGGGCAAGGAUUCGUAAAUGCUUCAGAUGGAAAUAUCUUAAAUAGUAUUUAAUUCUCAUGAGUGGCCAUUUUUUUAUGGAUGAUUAAGUCUGCCAACCUCCUACCACUUCUGAAUAUGAUACAAGGGAGGCAGUGAAAAAGUACAUUAUAUUGUAUUUUCCAUUAUAUAUAUAUCCUACGCUUUUUCAAUAUAUUAAGAAGAAGUACUUCAAUUUCUGAACCAGUGAACAGUUGCCUCUCCUGAGAUUGACUUUUACGGUACAUGGCACAAUGUUCUUAGGUAAGGAAUACAUCACCAGCGCAUGCGCAGAACCCACUUUCACUUUGCCUCACAAGCAACGGAUGAGUAGGACGCUUGUACAGUUAGGGUGGUUGUCUGUUAUUAUUAUCCAGGUUAGAUUGCUUUAUUGUAGAUUUGUUAUAAUAUUUUCCUGUUAUAUGUAUAGAGGUCAUUUUUAAAAAUGAAUGUGAAUGGAGCUUUACUUGAACAAAAGACACAAUCUGAGAACUCUUACCGUCCAGAGAAGAGAAUUCGAGAAUCAGACAAUGCACAAAGCAUCUUGAAGAAAUUCCGAAGAGAUGAUUACAGUGAUGAAUUUAGUUUUAGUGGAUGCACCUCAAAUGUGAGUUUUCUGUAAGUGGUGUGUGUGUGCACUCAUGCAUGCACAUGUGUGAAUAUAUUUAUAUGAGUUGCAGUUCAGUAGCAGACACCAUGUCCCUGUCUGGAGGAGAACGUUCAUACUCCACAGUUUCUUUCAUCAUGGCCCUUUGGGAUGCUAUUGAAACACCUUUCUAUUUCUUGGAUGAAUUUGAUGUCUUUAUGGAUAAAGUGAAUCGUCGAGUGAUCAUGGAUUUACUUUUGGCGCAUUCCUGACAGCAAACAAACUCUCAGUUUGUCUUCCUCACCCCACAAGACGUAUCCAUUCAGUCUGAUCAGGAUAUUACAAUACACAGGUUGCAAGAUCCAUGCAGGGGUAAUAAUACACAGUGAAGAACAAGGAGCUUGUAUCUUACUUGAAUACAUAUUUGUACUACAUAAAUUGUUAUAAUUUCUAGAUCAGAGGUGUGCAGCCAUUUUAGAACAUGGGCCACCUGCAGAAUACGAAGCUCGUAGGACAGUUGGAAAUUAAGGAGAGUUUUAAGAUACUUAAUUUUAUAUUGCUUGUGGUUUAUCUUGUUACGUGUGUGCACAUUGAUGUAAAAGGAGGCAUCUCUGAAUUAGUUUAUAAAUAUUAAUUCAUAAGUUG